GGGGGCGAACGGUUUCGACGGGGGUAAGCCUUCUCGGGAAGCGAGCCGAGGUUUCUCACCGUCCUCGUAAAAAAACGGUGGGAAAAAGUUAAGUGCCAACGAUUACGUUCCAGUUGCUGCCUAAUUAGAUAGACAGCCGUUCUCUACGAAGGUUGGCUGACCUUUCGUAGCAGGGCGCGACAAAGUCAGCCGAGUGGUCAGAAUGUACCUCACGUUCUGCACCACUUAGACAGUGGGGUUGGUCGGUCUAAAGCCUGUCUGUGGGCGUUAGACUGACGAGAUUCAAAUCACAGACUGCGCUCGGAGAAGCCCGUGGAGACUUGCUUUCGGACGCGGGUUCGAUUCCCGCCGCCUCCACCA
This 360-nucleotide transfer-messenger RNA is filed under the name Fervidobacteriaceae. RNAcentral describes it as "Fervidobacterium sp003526765 Standard tmRNA". It matches the Rfam family "transfer-messenger RNA". Rfam says of the family: Bacterial tmRNA, also known as 10Sa RNA or SsrA, is named for its dual tRNA and mRNA-like properties. Its role is to liberate the mRNA from a stalled ribosome. The record is from RNAcentral. RNAcentral also lists the same sequence under 1 other name. Lineage: Bacteria; Thermotogati; Thermotogota; Thermotogae; Thermotogales.